This 346-nucleotide unclassified non-coding RNA is filed under the name Halopeplis perfoliata. RNAcentral describes it as "partial external transcribed spacer". Lineage: Eukaryota; Viridiplantae; Streptophyta; Magnoliopsida; Caryophyllales; Amaranthaceae. The record is from RNAcentral.
UGGGUGGGAAGGGUUGAGCUGCGAAGCAGUACGUGAUGGCGUGUGAGUGGUAUUUGGUUUGUGUGGUUGGCGGGCUCCGUGCUUGUGCAUUGAACCGUUCACUAGCAGACCUCUUCAUUGUUAGCUCCGAGUGCAUGGUGUGCCUCGGGCGAGGAGUGGUCCCUGUGUUGAAUUCCUAAUGACGGUAUUGAUGUUGUCCUUUGAAAGUCUUAUUUCCGCUUUACAUCCCUUAACGUGAUGUCCAGCGGGACACUGAGGCUGUGGGAUCCUUAUCCGCUCAUCAAGCAAAAACAAGCGCGAUGCGACAGGAUGAUGGUCUCAAGUCGGGCCCUAGGAUSCAGAAUGU